RNAcentral lists this ribosomal RNA (1345 nucleotides) under uncultured bacterium. RNAcentral's name for it is "bacterial SSU rRNA". It matches the Rfam family "Bacterial small subunit ribosomal RNA", at positions 28 to 1381 of the family's 1533-position model. The record is from RNAcentral.
GACGAACGCUGGCGGCGUGCUUAACACAUGCAAGUCGAACGAUGAAGCGGUGCUUGCACCGUGGAUUAGUGGCGAACGGGUGAGUAAUACGUGAGUGACCUACCUUUGACUCUGGGAUAAGCCUGGGAAACUGGGUCUAAUACCGGAUACGACCAAUCUCUGCAUGGGGUGUUGGUGGAAAGCGUUAUGGAGUGGUUUUAGAUGGGCUCACGGCCUAUCAGCUUGUUGGUGAGGUAAUGGCUUACCAAGGCGACGACGGGUAGCCGGCCUGAGAGGGUGACCGGCCACACUGGGACUGAUACACGGCCCAGACUCCUACGGGAGGCUGCAGUGGGGAAUAUUGCACAUUGGGCGCAAGUGUGAGGGGGCGACUCCGCGUGAGGGAUGACGGCCUUCGGGUUGUACACCUCUGUUAGCAUCGAAGAAGCGAAAGUGACUGUAGGUGCAGAUAAAGCGCCGGCUAACUACGUGCUCACUGUCGCGGUAAUUCUUAGGGCUCGAGCGUUGUCCGGAAUUUUUGGGCGUAAAGAGUUUGUAUGCGGUUGGUCGCGUCUGCUGUGAAGGCCGGGGCUUAUCUCCGGUUUUGCAGUGGGUACGGGCUAACUAGAGUGCAGUAGGGGAGACUGGAAUUCCUGGUGUAGCGGUGGAAUGCACAGAUAUCAGGAGGAACACCGAUGGCGAAGGCAGGUCUCUGGGCUGUAACUGACGCUGAGAAGCGAAAGCAUGGGGAGCGAACAGGAUUAGAUACCCUGGUAGUCCAUGCCGUAAACGUUGGGCACUAGGUGUGGGGGACAUUCCACGUUUUCCGCGCCGUAGCUAACGCAUUAAGUGCCCCGCCUGGGGAGUACGGCCGCAAGGCUAAAACUCAAAGGAAUUGACGGGGGCCCGCACAAGCGGCGGAGCAUGCGGAUUAAUUCGAUGCAACGCGAAGAACCUUACCAAGGCUUGACAUGCAUUAGAUCGCGUCAGAGAUGGCGUUUCCCUUCGGGGCUGGUGUACAGGUGGUGCAUGGUUGUCGUCAGCUCGUGUCGUGAGAUGUUGGGUUAAGUCCCGCAACGAGCGCAACCCUCGUUCUAUGUUGCCAGCGGUUCGGCCGGGGACUCAUAGGAGACUGCCGGGGUUAACUCGGAGGAAGGUGGGGAUGACGUCAAAUCAUCAUGCCCCUUAUGUCUUGGGCUUCACGCAUGCUACAAUGGCCGGUACAGAGGGUUGCGAUACUGUGAGGUGGAGCUAAUCCCUUAAAGCCGGUCUCAGUUCGGAUUGGGGUCUGCAACUCGACCCCAUGAAGUCGGAGUCGCUAGUAAUCGCAGAUCAGCAACGCUGCGGUGAAUACGUUCCCGGGCCU